AAAAAAACCCACAACCUAGAAAACGGUGUCGUUCUGGUAUCGCAACUGUUUUAGUUGGUUAGAACAUUCCAUGUCCAAUCCCUGACAGCCACCUCUCGUGGAUAUCCCGUCAGCGACUGCGAUGGGCCGUAAACCACCAAAAUCAACGACUGCGAUGGGCCGUAAACUACCAAAGUCAACGACUGCAUCGCCACCAUUACUCCGCCGCAUCACAAGUCUCGACGAAAGCAUAUCCCGCUACAUACACAAAUACACAAGUCCCCUUGCCCCUAAACCUCUCCUACGCUUCCUAGAACACUUAGCCGAUUUCCGUUUUUUCCUCCCCGUCACUCUCUCACUCUUCUUCGCCACUCCCUCUCCCUCUCCCCUCCAUUCCCACCUCUUCAUCCCUCUCAUCCUCUGCUCCCUCCUCGAUCUCAUCGUCACCGGUUUCCUCAAAUUCCUCGUUCGUAGAUCUCGCCCUUCCUAUGCAAUCCACGGUGAUUACAACGCCGUCGUUCCCGUCGAUAAAUUCUCUUUCCCAAGCGGUCAUUCCUCCAGAGUAUGCUUCAUCGCCUCCAUAUUUUUCCUCACACGAGAUCAUAUCGUUGACGCCGUCGCCGAUCGGAGCCAUCCGAAGCUUUCUAUUAUCGUUAAUCGGUGGAUCGGAGGAGACGAAGUUAUGGCAGUUAAUCUUUUGGUUGUUGCCGUUUGGUCUUGGGCUCUUACGACGGUUAUUUCUAGGGUUGUUCUUGGGAGGCAUUAUGUUCUCGAUGUUAGCUUCGGAGCUUGCUUCGGUGUCCUCGAAGCUUUCUUCACCUUACGCUUUCUCAAAUUCGAAGUUUUGAUUUGAGACUCCACAUUAAUGGGAUGACUGAGCCAAAGCAAAAUAGAGCGAAAACACAUGAUAAGGAAAACGACUAUAUCAUUAUUGUCCAUGUCAGGUCUCGUGGAGCAAAUUGCACUUAAGCUAUUGGAGGGGAUCAAAUCUUUCUAAUUGGUAUCAAACGGAUAAUGAAGUCAUGAAUGUUUAGGACAUCGGGGUCCUGAUCCUCACAGAUAAUUUUGAACAUCUUUAUGACUAACAUCCAGCAAAUACUACUUGGUCUCAAUUCUUUCCUCAUUCAUUAGUUAAAAUUGUUUUCUAGCUUAAUUCUGUUAGUUAUUUAUUCCUUGGGAAUUUAACUAUCUACUUCUCUAUACGUUUCCCUACAUUGUAAAUAAUAAAUGUAGACAUGUGAUAUAUCAUCCCUGGUAAAGAAGCUCUGUUUUUCAUUUAUUUGUAAUUUGUCUUAUGUUCUAUUUUUUUAUGGUGAAAAUCUUAUGUACCAUUUAAACUAAAGGAUGUGUGGUAUGCAUUGAUUUCUCUA
Molecule: RNA transcript, 1349 nt
Organism: Cicer arietinum (chickpea)
Lineage: Eukaryota; Viridiplantae; Streptophyta; Magnoliopsida; Fabales; Fabaceae
Gene name: probable lipid phosphate phosphatase beta
Source: RefSeq, a predicted model, not a curated record